GAAUUCGCCCUUAGAGUUUGAUCCUGGCUCAGGACGAACGCUGGCGGCGCGCCUAACACAUGCAAGUCGAACGAGCGAGAGAGAGCUUGCUUUCUCAAGCGAGUGGCGAACGGGUGAGUAACGCGUGAGGAACCUGCCUCAAAGAGGGGGACAACAGUUGGAAACGACUGCUAAUACCGCAUAAGCCCACGACCCGGCAUCGGGUAGAGGGAAAAGGAGCAAUCCGCUUUGAGAUGGCCUCGCGUCCGAUUAGCUAGUUGGUGAGGUAAUGGCCCACCAAGGCGACGAUCGGUAGCCGGACUGAGAGGUUGAACGGCCACAUUGGGACUGAGACACGGCCCAGACUCCUACGGGAGGCAGCAGUGGGGAAUAUUGCACAAUGGGGGAAACCCUGAUGCAGCGACGCCGCGUGGAGGAAGAAGGUCUUCGGAUUGUAAACUCCUGUUGUUGAGGAAGAUAAUGACGGUACUCAACAAGGAAGUGACGGCUAACUACGUGCCAGCAGCCGCGGUAAAGCGUAGGUCACAAGCGUUGUCCGGAAUUACUGGGUGUAAAGGGAGCGCAGGCGGGAAGACAAGUUGGAAGUGAAAUCCAUGGGCUCAACCCAUGAACUGCUUUCAAAACUGUUUUUCUUGAGUAGUGCAGAGGUAGGCGGAAUUCCCGGUGUAGCGGUGGAAUGCGUAGAUAUCGGGAGGAACACCAGUGGCGAAGGCGGCCUACUGGGCACCAACUGACGCUGAGGCUCGAAAGUGUGGGUAGCAAACAGGAUUAGAUACCCUGGUAGUCCACACUGUAAACGAUGAUUUAUUAGGUGUUGGAGGAUUGACCCCUUCAGUGCCGCAGUUAACACAAUAAGUAAUCCUCCUGGGGAGUACGUCCGCAAGGUUGAAACCCAAAGGAAUUGACGGGGGCCCGCACAAGCAGUGGAGUAUGUGGUUUAAUUCGACGCAACGCGAAGAACCUUACCAAGUCUUGACAUCCUGCGACGGACAUAGAAAUAUGUUUUUCCUUCGGGACGCAGAGACAGGUGGUGCAUGGUUGUCGUCAGCUCGUGUCGUGAGAUGUUGGGUUAAGUCCCGCAACGAGCGCAACCCUUAUGGUCAGUUACUACGCAAGAGGACUCUGGCCAGACUGCCGUUGACAAAACGGAGGAAGGUGGGGAUGACGUCAAAUCAUCAUGCCCUUUAUGACUUGGGCUACACACGUACUACAAUGGCGUUAAACAAAGAGAAGCAAGACCGCGAGGUGGAGCAAAACUCAGAAACAACGUCCCAGUUCGGACUGCAGGCUGCAACUCGCCUGCACGAAGUCGGAAUUGCUAGUAAUCGCAGAUCAGCAUGCUGCGGUGAAUACGUUCCGCGGGCCUUGCACACACCGCCCGUCA
Molecule: ribosomal RNA, 1384 nt
Filed under: uncultured bacterium
Lineage: Bacteria
Description: bacterial SSU rRNA
Rfam family: Bacterial small subunit ribosomal RNA
Source: RNAcentral